CCUACGGGAGGCAGCAGUGGGGAAUAUUGCGCAAUGGCCGAAAGGCUGACGCAGCGACGCCGCGUGGGGGAUGAAGCAUUUCGGUGUGUAAACCCCUGUUGCCCGGGACGAACAACUGGUUUUGACCAGUCUGACGGUACCGGGUGAGGAAGCACCGGCUAACUCCGUGCCAGCAGCCGCGGUAAUACGGAGGGUGCGAGCGUUGUCCGGAAUCACUGGGCGUAAAGGGCGCGUAGGCGGUCUGCUAAGCGUGUGGUGAAAGCUCGGGGCUCAACCCCGAGUCGGCCAUGCGAACUGGUGGACUUGAGCACUGUAGAGGCAGGUGGAAUUCCGGGUGUAGCGGUGGAAUGCGUAGAGAUCCGGAAGAACACCGGUGGCGAAGGCGGCCUGCUGGGCAGUAGCUGACGCUGAGGCGCGACAGCGUGGGGAGCAAACAGGAUUAGAUACCCUGGUAGUCCACGCCGUAAACGAUGGGAACUAGGUGCUUGGGGGAGCGACCCCCGAGUGCGGCGCUAACGCAUAAGUUCCCGCCUGGGGAGUACGACCGCAAGGUUGAAACGUCAAAGGAAUUAGACGG
RNAcentral lists this ribosomal RNA (577 nucleotides) under uncultured bacterium. RNAcentral describes it as "bacterial SSU rRNA". It matches the Rfam family "Bacterial small subunit ribosomal RNA", at positions 338 to 917 of the family's 1533-position model. The record is from RNAcentral.